Molecule: RNA transcript, 1378 nt
Organism: Mastomys coucha (southern multimammate mouse)
Lineage: Eukaryota; Metazoa; Chordata; Mammalia; Rodentia; Muridae
Gene name: L-lactate dehydrogenase A chain pseudogene
Exons: 3
Source: RefSeq, a predicted model, not a curated record
UUCAAAGUCCAAGAUGGCAACCCUCAAGGACCAGCUGAUUGUGAAUCUUCUUAAGGAAGAACAGGUCCCCCAGAACAAGAUUACAGUUGUUGGGGUUGGUGUUGUUGGCAUGGCCUGUGCCAUCAGUAUCUUAACAAAGGACUUGGCAGAUGAGCUUGUCCUUGUUGAUGUCAUGGAAGACAAGCUGAAGGGAGAGGUGAUGGAUCUCCAGCAUGGCAGCCUCUUCCUUAAAACACCAAAAAUUGUCUCCAGCAAAGACUGUUGUGUAACUGCAAACUCCAAGCUGGUCAUCAUCACAGCGGGGGCCCGUCAGCAAGAGGGAGAGAGCCGACUCAAUCUGGUCCAGCGAAACAUGAACAUCUUCAAGUUCAUCAUUCCCAACAUUGUGAAGUACACUCCACACUGCAAGUUGCUUAUUGUCUCAAUUCCAGUGGAUAUCUUGACCUACGUUGCUUGGAAAAUCAGUUAUUGCCAAAAGCCGAGUUAUUGGAAGUGGUUGCAGUCUGGAUUCAGCUCGGUUCCGUUACCUGAUGGGAGAAAGGCUGGGGGUUCACCCGCUGAGCUGUCACGGGUGGGUCCUGGGAGAACAUGGCGACUCCAGUGUGCCUGUGUGGAAUGGUGUGAACAUUGCCGUGUCUCCCUGAAGUCUCUUAACCCAGAACUGGGCACUGAUACAGAUAAGGAGCAGUGGAAGCAUGUUCACAAGCAGGUGGUUGACAGUGCCUAUGAGGUGAUCAAGCUGAAAGGUUAACACAUCCUGGGCCAUUGGCCUCUCUGUGGCCGACUUGGCCGAGAGCAUAAUGAAGAACCUGAGAUGGGUGCAUCCCAUCUCCACCAUGAUUAAGGGUCUCCAUGGGAAUUGAUGAUGUCUUCCUCAGUGUCCCAUGUAUCCUGGGACAAAAUGGAAUCUUGGAUGUUGUGAAGGUGACUGGCUCCUGAGGAAGAGGCCCGCCUGAAGAAGAGUGCAGAUACCCUCUGGGGAAUCCAGAAGGAGCUUGUGUUGGACCCACACCUGGCCAUUACCCAGGGAGAAAUGGAGUUAGCAGUGACAUUAAAUGUACCGUAUGAUUCCUUGAUGAUAAACUUCGUGUUCUGGCCAAACUCCAGCCACAACCACGUGAAUUUCAUUGUCUUUGCUGCCAUUUGUUAUGCUCGCUCCUCCUUGAGGACUGUAGUUGUUUUAAUGCAGUGCACUGCAAGUUUCAACACACUCUUGCAUCACCUGGAAAUCUUGCAAAAGCUUAUAUGUAGAGUCACAGCCCUAAGAGAGUGCCCAGGUUUCUGCAACUUUCAAGACUCAGUGCUAAUACUGUUGAUGCCUGGGAUCGUAUGUCAGUGGAGAACAGCUAGGUCGCACGUCACAGAUUUUACACAGUAA